This 92-nucleotide transfer RNA is filed under the name Streptomyces gelaticus. RNAcentral describes it as "tRNA-Gly". Lineage: Bacteria; Bacillati; Actinomycetota; Actinomycetes; Kitasatosporales; Streptomycetaceae. The record is from RNAcentral.
UGAGCGUCGGCUUGCGGCCCGACGCCUCGUCACUCCCCGUGAUGCGGGCCGGACUACGGGCCGCUCCGGGGUUCCGCCGCCCCGUCGUCCGC